GACGAACGCUGGCGGCGUGCUUAACACAUGCCAGUCGAACGGAAAGGCCCUGCUUGCAGGGUACCCGAGUGGCGAACGGGUGAGUAACACGUGGGUGAUCUGCCCUGCACUUCGGGAUAAGCUUGGGAAACUGGGUCUAAUACCGGAUAGGAGCCAUCUUUAGUGUGGUGGUUGGAAAGUUUUUUCGGUGUAGGAUGAGCUCGCGGCCUAUCAGCUUGUUGGUGGGGUAAUGGCCUACCAAGGCGGCGACGGGUAGCCGGCCUGAGAGGGUGUACGGCCACAUUGGGACUGAGAUACGGCCCAGACUCCUACGGGAGGCAGCAGUGGGGAAUAUUGCACAAUGGGCGCAAGCCUGAUGCAGCGACGCCGCGUGGGGGAUGAAGGCCUUCGGGUUGUAAACUCCUUUCGCUAGGGACGAAGCUUUUUUGUGACGGUACCUAGAUAAGAAGCACCGGCUAACUACGUG
This 466-nucleotide ribosomal RNA is filed under the name uncultured bacterium. RNAcentral's name for it is "partial 16S ribosomal RNA". It matches the Rfam family "Bacterial small subunit ribosomal RNA", at positions 28 to 507 of the family's 1533-position model. The record is from RNAcentral.